AUGCAUGUCUAAGUACAUACCUCGACACGGUGAAACUGCGAAUGGCUCAUUAAAUCAUAUGUUAUUUCUUAGAUCGUACAAUCCUACUCGGAUAACUGUGGUAAUUCUAGAGCUAAUACAUGCAUCCAAGCUCCGACCUCCGGGGAAGAGCGCUUUUAUUAGACCAAAACCAAUCGUCCCCUUCGCGGGGGGCGUCCCGUUGGUGACUCUGAAUAACUUUCCGCUGAUCGCACGGCCACGCGCCGGCGACGUAUCUUUCAAGUGUAUGCCCUAUCAAUUGUCGAAGGUAAGCGACCUGCCUACCUUGAUAAUAACGGGUAACGGGGAAUCAGGGUUCGAUUCCGGAGAGGGAGCAUGAGAAACGGCUACCACA
This 373-nucleotide ribosomal RNA is filed under the name Branchiomma sp. USNM IZ 1450406. RNAcentral's name for it is "SSU rRNA". It matches the Rfam family "Eukaryotic small subunit ribosomal RNA", at positions 51 to 414 of the family's 1831-position model. RNAcentral also lists the same sequence under 2 other names. Lineage: Eukaryota; Metazoa; Annelida; Polychaeta; Sabellida; Sabellidae. The record is from RNAcentral.